Molecule: ribosomal RNA, 705 nt
Filed under: uncultured Pseudomonadota bacterium
Lineage: Bacteria; Pseudomonadati; Pseudomonadota
Description: bacterial SSU rRNA
Rfam family: Bacterial small subunit ribosomal RNA
Source: RNAcentral
GGCAGCACGGGGGCUUGCUCCUGGUGGCGAGUGGCGAACGGGUGAGUAAUGCGUCGGGACGUACCGAGUAAUGGGGGAUAACGCAGCGAAAGCUGUGCUAAUACCGCAUACGCCCUGAGGGGGAAAGCAGGGGAUCGCAAGACCUUGCGUUAUUCGAGCGGCCGACGUCUGAUUAGCUAGUUGGUGGGGUAAAGGCCUACCAAGGCGACGAUCAGUAGCGGGUCUGAGAGGAUGAUCCGCCACACUGGAACUGAGACACGGUCCAGACUCCUACGGGAGGCAGCAGUGGGGAAUUUUGGACAAUGGGGGAAACCCUGAUCCAGCCAUUCCGCGUGAGUGAAGAAGGCCUUCGGGUUGUAAAGCUCUUUCAGCUGGAAAGAAACGGUGCGCUCUAACAUAGCGUGCUAAUGACGGUACCAGCAGAAGAAGCACCGGCUAACUACGUGCCAGCAGCCGCGGUAAUACGUAGGGUGCGAGCGUUAAUCGGAAUUACUGGGCGUAAAGCGUGCGCAGGCGGAUUGUUAAGCAAGAUGUGAAAUCCCCGGGCUUAACCUGGGAAUGGCAUUUUGAACUGGCAGUCUAGAGUGUGUCAGAGGGGGGUGGAAUUCCACGUGUAGCAGUGAAAUGCGUAGAUAUGUGGAGGAACACCAAUGGCGAAGGCAGCCCCCUGGGAUAACACUGACGCUCAUGUACGAAAGCGUGGGG